RNAcentral lists this long non-coding RNA (957 nucleotides) under Pan troglodytes (chimpanzee). Its description in RNAcentral is "lincRNA". Lineage: Eukaryota; Metazoa; Chordata; Mammalia; Primates; Hominidae. The record is from RNAcentral.
CACUCCAAGCUCAUCCAGGGGCAACAGAAGAAGCCCUUUGAGGAGCACUGGAGGAAGCACACCCUGUCCUAUGUGGACGUCAGCACUGGGAAGUGCACAGCCAGAGAACAACACAUCACACACAAGAAACAGUUGUGCUCAUGUGAUGGGGGCCUCAGCACUAGGAAGGAGUGGACUGUUGGCGCACGCAGCAGCUUGAAUAAAUCUGAAAGUCACUACGCUGCGUAAGAGAAGCCAAAUAAAGCGCAUGCUGUGUACAGAGGGUGUCGAGAAUGUGUCCUACGUGACGGAAAGCAGAUCCGUGGUUCCCUGCAGACUGGCAGGAGCAGAUUCCAAAGGCACAGGAAGAAGCUUGCAGCUUGCCUGUUCACUCUGGCUGGUCAUAUGCAGAAAACCGAAACUAGACCCCUUUCUGACACCUUAUAUAAAAAUUAACUCAAGAUGCAUUAAAGAUUUAAACGUGAGACCUAAAACCAGAAAAAUCCUAGAAGAAAACCUAGGCAAUACCAUUGAGGACAUAAGCAUGGGCAAAGACUUUCAUGACUAAAACACCAAAAGGAAUGGCAACAAAAGCCAAAAUUGACAAAAGGUUUCCUUAACGACAACAAAAAAGGGAGUAAUCCUACCUACUGUAAGAGUCAUGACUCUUGAUUGCAGCUGACAGAAACUCAUGACAGCCUGGUUUAGAUAAAGGGGGAGAGAAGGACUGGAAGAAUCUUGGAGUUGGGAAUGUCGCACGUAAUUGAAGGAAGAACAAGAAAACUAUAGCAGCUAUUCCCAACCCCAGAACCUUUGCUGUCUUGGAACAGAUCACCACUGCAAGAGGGGAAGUUGCUACUGUGAUGAAUUCUGCCAUGUGGUACCAGACUGCUACCCAGACCACAGUGUCCUCUGCAACCCUCCUUCUCAGAUGACCAAGAUGGUGCUGCAGAUGGUGCUGAGGAUGGAGAACCCACC